Molecule: ribosomal RNA, 468 nt
Filed under: uncultured bacterium
Lineage: Bacteria
Description: partial 16S ribosomal RNA
Rfam family: Bacterial small subunit ribosomal RNA
Source: RNAcentral
GACGAACGCUGGCGGCGUGCUUAACACAUGCAAGUCGAACGGAAAGGCCCUGCUUUUGUGGGGUGCUCGAGUGGCGAACGGGUGAGUAACACGUGAGUAACCUGCCCUUGACUUUGGGAUAACUUCAGGAAACUGGGGCUAAUACCGGAUAGGAGCUCCUGCUGCAUGGUGGGGGUUGGAAAGUUUCGGCGGGUGGGGAUGGACUCGCGGCUUAUCAGCUUGUUGGUGGGGUAGUGGCUUACCAAGGCUUUGACGGGUAGCCGGCCUGAGAGGGUGACCGGGCACAGAGGGACUGGGGUACGGCCCGUAGGCCUACGGGAGGCAGCAGUGGGAAUUAGUGCACGAGAGGCGGAGGCCGGAAGCAGCAACGCCGGGUGGUGAAGGACGGCCUUCGGAGAGUAAAGCGCUUUCGCCUGUGACGAAGCGUGAGUGACGGUAAUGGGUAAAGAAGCACCGGCUAACUACGUG